AUGAUUUCAGCAAGAUUUCUUAGCCUCUUUCUUCUUUCUUUAGCCUUUAUAUACUCCAAGACUUGUGAUGUAGCCGUUGCUAGGGUUUUGUCCGUUGGAGUGGCAAUCUUGAAAAAUCAGACUGCUAGGCUGCACGAGGUAGGUGGCGGACAGACUGAGACUUGUACGAUGUUGUACUAUGAUAGCGACCUGUCCUUUCACCAGUUGACUUGAGAUCUGAAGGCUUCAGAUGAACGUUGGUGAAGCUUCUGAUCCUCGUCAGGUUAAAGCUUGGAUUCUUCUGACCUUGCAACUUCUGCUUCUGAACAAGUUCCUCAGAACUUCUGAACGUCAGAGCUAGAAUAGCUUGGGUCUUCAGAACCAACUUCUUGCAGGUCUUCAGAACUUGAGUCUUCUACUUCUGAACCGUUCCACUGGAACAUCUGGUCUUCAGAACUUCUGACUCUGGUUCUUCAGAACCUCUUGAGAGCUUGUAUCUUCAGAACUUCUGAAGGAUUUGCCACUGUCUUGCACGCGUGUCUUCCCCUCUGAAACUCAAGAACACAUCGUGGAUUCUCCCUAUGGGUCCCGUUAAGAACUGCUCCCAAUCUGGAGGUCGAGGAAGCCAAGCUGGAGAAGGAGAAGGAGAAGGAGGAGGAGAUGGAUCCAAAUCGAACAGUGAAUAGCUCUGAUGGGCAUGGGCUAAUGGGUAAGCCGCCAUGGAUGAGAAAUGACAAUGAAACGCCGCGGGAAGAAAUAUAAAAUAGGUCCAUUUCUCAUUUUGUCCACCAUGCA
This 774-nucleotide long non-coding RNA is filed under the name Lotus japonicus. RNAcentral's name for it is "long non-coding RNA (LJAP_LNC000507)". Lineage: Eukaryota; Viridiplantae; Streptophyta; Magnoliopsida; Fabales; Fabaceae. The record is from RNAcentral.